UGGUCACAUUACAUUAAAAAAACUGGUUCCUGUAUGAUCACUGAAGUUAAGCAAUGUCAAAUCUGAUCAGUACCUAGAUGGGUGACUGCUUGGGAAUACCAGGUGCUGCAAGC
Acanthosepion pharaonis is the source of this 113-nucleotide non-coding RNA. The record is from the annotation of a GenBank genome assembly. NCBI's taxonomy places the organism in Eukaryota, Metazoa, Mollusca, Cephalopoda, Sepiida, Sepiidae.